CCUACGGGUGGCAGCAGUGAGGAAUAUUGGUCAAUGGCCGUAAGGCUGAACCAGCCAAGUCGCGUGAAGGAAGACGGCCCUAUGGGUUGUAAACUUCUUUUAUAGGGGAAUAAAGUUAGCCACGUGUGGUUAUUUGCAUGUACCCUAUGAAUAAGCAUCGGCUAAAUCCGUGCCAGCAGCCGCGGUAAUACGGAGGAUCCGAGCGUUAUCCGGAUUUAUUGGGUUUAAAGGGAGCGUAGGUGGGUUGUUAAGUCAGCGGUGAAAGUUUGUGGCUCAACCAUAAAAUUGCGGUUGAUACUGGCAGUCUUGAGUACGGUUGAGGUAGGCGGAAUUCGUGGUGUAGCGGUGAAAUGCUUAGAUAUCACGAAGAACUCCGAUUGCGAAGGCAGCUUACUAAACCGCUACUGACACUGAAGCACGAAAGCGUGGGGAUCAAACAGGAUUAGAUACCCGAGUAGUC
This 460-nucleotide ribosomal RNA is filed under the name uncultured bacterium. RNAcentral's name for it is "partial 16S ribosomal RNA". It matches the Rfam family "Bacterial small subunit ribosomal RNA", at positions 338 to 795 of the family's 1533-position model. The record is from RNAcentral.